This 458-nucleotide ribosomal RNA is filed under the name uncultured bacterium. Its description in RNAcentral is "partial 16S ribosomal RNA". It matches the Rfam family "Bacterial small subunit ribosomal RNA", at positions 338 to 795 of the family's 1533-position model. The record is from RNAcentral.
CCUACGGGAGGCAGCAGUGGGGAAUAUUGCACAAUGGGGGAAACCCUGAUGCAGCGACGCCGCGUGAGUGAAGAAGUAAUUCGUUACUUAAAGCUCUAUCAGCAGGGAAGAAACACUGACCUUACGGUCAGCAGACGGUACCUGAGUAAGAAGCCCCGGCGAACUACGUGCCAGCAGCCGCGGGGAUACGUAGGGGGUAAGCGUUAUCCGGAUUUACUGGGGGUAAAGGGGGCGUAGACGGUGCGCCAAGUCUGGAGUGAAAUGCCGCAGCUUAACUGCGGAACUGCUUUGGAAACUGGUGAACGAGAGUGCGGGAGGGGUAAGCGGAAUGCGUAGUGUAGCGGUGAAAUGCGUAGAUAUUAGGAGGAACGCCGGUGGCGAAGGCGGCUUACUGGACCGUAACUGACGUUGAGGCUCGAAAGCGUGGGGAGCGAACAGGAUUAGAUACCCGGGUAGUC